Molecule: long non-coding RNA, 1718 nt
Filed under: Carica papaya (papaya)
Lineage: Eukaryota; Viridiplantae; Streptophyta; Magnoliopsida; Brassicales; Caricaceae
Description: long non-coding RNA (CPAP_LNC015671)
Source: RNAcentral
UUUCCCUGACCCUUGGCCCUCCACUUCCUAUCCAUUUAUAUUCCAAUCUGUCAUAGAACAUUUCUUGCCCACUUUUUAUUCAUUUUUUUUCAAAUCUCACAUUCAUACUUGCUGUAAAUCUCCCCUUCUUCAUCCCAUUUUCCAGACAUCUGCAGCUUUCCCCUAUUUUUCACACUUUCUAGACUUUCUGCCUCUCCCUCUGCUUAAUCUCACUUUCUCAUACCCUCUCCUUUAAUCUUGGUAUUUCCUUACCUUCCCAGAUCCUACAGCCCUUUGUUUCAGCUCAAACUUCCCAGUCCCUCUGCAAAAACUCCCUGUCUCACUCUGUAACACCCCACGCCUUAUGUAUUUUCCAAGUUUUCUGCUCACUUUCCCAGUCACAAUUAUGGUGCUCUCAACCAACUCAACACUCUCCUGUGCAUACUUACAACAUUCAACUCAUACACCACACUCAAAUGUUCACAUACCCACCAAUUCCAUACUUCUCAAUAUUUAAUCAAAACAUGUAAACUGAAAUAAAGAUUAAAACAAUGGUUUCUGGGGCAUCAACCCCUUGGCCCAGCAGCUAGGCCUUAAUAAAACACACCUCUUCUCAAUUCUGGUUCACAGGAACAACAAAUAUCACCAUAAUCAUACCAUUCUAAUGGCAUAUAAUAUGCCAAUAGCAAGAUCCGGGCAUCAACCCCUGGACCCUAUGCAGAAGGGCCAAAGUCAUUCACAGAAUCACUCUUCACAAGAACUGACAAUAUUCACAUUAAUCACACAAUAUAAAUUUUCAAAAAUCCCACAACGAUCCCAAAGGAUCCCAUUUCGAUUAUAAAUAUUCGAUAUCUCAUGAAAUAUUCAAAGUCAACGAUACACAAUAAAAUCAAGCAUGCCAAACUGUUGAGGCUUCUGUCCCUUGACCCUAUGCAGAAGGGCCAUAGUAUAAUGUCAUUUACUUCUCCAAUGGAAAACACAGCAAUGCACAAAUAUAUUUAUACGAAUAUAAAUAAACCCUAAACACAUAAGUUUUUAAUGAAGCCCUCGGGCAUCAACUUUUCCCCCUAGAACACAAACCUCAACUUCAUUCUAUACUAUGUUCCUAUGCAGUAAAAUUCCUAGGAAAUUCUGUCGCAUCUCUGCUUCCACUCACGUAUUGAGACUCGUCCCGGUUUGCUCGACUUUUUUCUCCAUUUAAUCUCUAGUCCCAUUCUGUCUCUAACCCCUUCCAUCUUUCCCCUUUACUUUCUUUCGCUCAAGGCUUCACUAAUUUUCCACCGAGAAAACCCCAGAUCUGACCCUUUGUAAUUGCUUCGGUCAUCCUCACUCUCCAACUGUUUAUCCUCUCAAAUUUCUAUAUUGAGUCCCCUUUCUAACAUUUUCGAACCGACUCAAUACCAAGCUCAUAAUUCCAACACGAUGCUAAUUCAGUAUGCUAAUUCAGUGUUGUGAAACGAAAAUUAGACUUACCUUGUUUCGGAACGAUGGUAUUAUCGCCCCGCAUUUCACUCACCCUCUCCUCGCAUGGCCUCCUUCUAAGUUUGCUCUCCCUCGUUGUUUCGCCUAUCCUCUUCUUCUGUUCCCCGAAAUGAGAAGUUAUUUUUUCUCUCUCCCUUUCACUCUUCUAUCGUCUCUCUCUCUCCCCCUCUCUCUCUCUUGCGUGGCAGCAAUCCUCUCCUUUACCAGAAAGAGAGUUAGGGUUAAUAUUUAUAUAUGCAUCAUGGCUCGUCUGAUCU